RNAcentral lists this signal recognition particle RNA (270 nucleotides) under Clostridia bacterium. RNAcentral describes it as "signal recognition particle sRNA large type". It matches the Rfam family "Bacterial large signal recognition particle RNA". From Rfam's summary of the family: The signal recognition particle (SRP) is a universally conserved ribonucleoprotein involved in the co-translational targeting of proteins to membranes. Archaeal SRP consists of a 7S RNA and homologues of the eukaryotic SRP19 and SRP54 proteins. In most bacteria, the SRP consists of a 4.5S RNA and the Ffh protein (a homologue of the eukaryotic SRP54 protein). Lineage: Bacteria; Bacillati; Bacillota; Clostridia. The record is from RNAcentral.
CCAUACCGGCCGGGGAGUUAGCGGUGCCUUGUACCUGCAAUCCGCUAUAGCAGGGGUUAUUUCCGCUCUUGAGGGCGAAGCGGGUGUGGUCAGCACCGAUCGUUUUGCGUGUUGAAGAAUGGGUCCUGUGCAACUAAUGGCUGUGAACCAUGUCAGGUGGGAGACCAAGCAGCAUUAAGCAGUAUCACUUAGUGUGCCACGGGUUCGCCUGUUCGGAGCGCAGACAUCGGAAAGCGCAUGUUCGUUUCUGCUCGAUUUUGCGGUGUAUGG